AGUGGGGAAUAUUGCACAAUGGGCGCAAGCCUGAUGCAGCGACGCCGCGUGAGGGAUGACGGCCUUCGGGUUGUAAACCUCUUUCACCAGGGACGAAGCGUGAGUGACGGUACCUGGAGAAGAAGCACCGGCCAACUACGUGCCAGCAGCCGCGGUAAUACGUAGGGUGCGAGCGUUGUCCGGAAUUACUGGGCGUAAAGAGCUCGUAGGCGGUUUGUCGCGUCGUCUGUGAAAUUCUGCAACUCAAUUGCAGGCGUGCAGGCGAUACGGGCAGACUUGAGUACUACAGGGGAGGCUGGAAUUCCUGGUGUAGCGGUGAAAUGCGCAGAUAUCAGGAGGAACACCGGUGGCGAAGGCGGGUCUCUGGGUAGUAACUGACGCUGAGGAGCGAAAGCGUGGGUAGCGAA
This 407-nucleotide ribosomal RNA is filed under the name Gordonia terrae. RNAcentral's name for it is "bacterial SSU rRNA". It matches the Rfam family "Bacterial small subunit ribosomal RNA", at positions 353 to 772 of the family's 1533-position model. The record is from RNAcentral. Lineage: Bacteria; Bacillati; Actinomycetota; Actinomycetes; Mycobacteriales; Gordoniaceae.